Molecule: unclassified non-coding RNA, 2199 nt
Filed under: uncultured fungus
Lineage: Eukaryota; Fungi
Description: sequence contains 18S rRNA gene, ITS1, 5.8S rRNA gene, ITS2, 28S rRNA gene
Rfam family: Eukaryotic large subunit ribosomal RNA (bases 1064-2199)
Source: RNAcentral
GGAGGGAUCAUUAAAACAACAAACUUUGGGGGAUUGUCUUCAAGAGAGAGAAGUUUACUUAAUAAGAGUCUAGUGUUCUUUUAAGUAAAUAACUCUUUCUUUUAGAUCCAUUUAACUUUGUAAUAAGUUGGGGAAGUUAUUAUAAUGUUAAGUGGAAGAUCUUGGUGAUUGUUUACAAGUUAAUGAGUUCUUAUUUAACUUGUGUUAGAUAAAGUAUUAAGCCCAAUUCUUAAUACUUAACCAAUCUCGUCAUCUACCUUGUCAAAGUUAAUGUUUAACUGGAGUAGGUAUUCCUUUAGGGUUGAGUUCAGCUCCUUUUAGACUUUAACUAAAACAAUUGUAUAUAACUAUUAGUGAUGGAUGUCUCGGUUCGGUUUACGAUGAAGAACGUAGCAAAGUAUGUUAUGUAGCGGGACAUGCACUCUACGUGAUUCGUCAACUCUUCGAAUGCAUACUGCGCCUGCAGGCUCUGCCUGACAGGCUCAUUUGUAUCAGUUUCGACUUAUUACCUAUCACUCUUUGUGAGUGGAUUCGUCAGUGUGUUGAGUAAUCAAUGCUCUGAUUAGAUACAAUGUUGGGGUUUAAAGAUGUUUAGUUAGACUUUAAAUUAAAAGAAAGUAUUCUUAGGGGGUUGAGGUUGAGUACUUGUUCUUUUAACUUAAAGUAGUUCAAGUUAGUAGAGAAAAGGGACUGUAUUAGUUAGUUUGAGGUUUGAAUUCCCUUUUUGAUUAGAUAUUGUCUUUCAGAGUUUUGUGGAAAUAAUAGUACAUGUUCUCUGAUGAUAUAACUAAUUAAAAAGGUUGAGUUCACUCGCCACCUCAAUCUAAUGAGACUUUGCCGUUUGAAGUAUCUAUUAAUUAAUGAAUACUAAUUAACUUCUUUCAAACCAUUAUCAACAUACCUUUAGAGAGUGUUUAAAGUAACUAAAGUAGUUUAAAGUCACUUUAACUUCAGGGGAAAGGUUAAAGUGACUUUACUACUUUAAGUUACUUUUAAACACUUUAGUUCUUUAAAAAGAAGCUAUUUUUUUAAAGUCUAAUUUACUCUUAUCUCUCUUCUUCUUCGAACUGAUAUCAAGUGAGAUUACCUACUGAAUUUAAGCAUAUAAUUAAGUAGAGGAAAAGAAACUAACUAGGAUUUCCCUUAGUACAGGCGAGGGAAGAGGGACUAGCCCAGGCUGAAUCUGUAAUGGUUCGUCCAUUACCGAAAUGUAGCCUUUCAAACAGUCUCACAGGGGUGAAUAAUAGAUGUAAGUUCCUUGGAACAGGACGCCAUAGAAGGUGAUAGCCCUGUAACAUCUAUUGUGUUACUCCAAUACGUGUGAUUGCUUUGUCGAGUCGUGUUGUUUGGGAGUACAGCACAAAAUGGGUGGUAUGUACCAUCUAAGGCUAAAUAUUAAACCGAACCGAUAGCGAACAAGUAGCGUGAGCGAAAGAUGCAAAGUACUCUGAAAAGAGAGUUAAAGUACCUGAAAUCACUAAUAGGGGAAGCGAUUAGUAGCUGUUGUUAGUUGUUAUACAAUCACCUUAAGACAUUGCUUUAUAGUUGUAUUGUGAGUAGUCCGUUUACGUGAUUGCCUCUAGUAUUAUUAUUAAAGUGGUGUUUUGGGGGCACUUGUGUGAUAAUUACUCAACAUCAGUUAGGUUAGUUAUAGAAGGACUUGAGGAAGGUAGUCUGACUUCGGUUAGAUGUUACAUCCUUGGGUAUAUGUAACUAACUUGACUGAGGAAUUCUUUAAGUAGUAGCCUUGCUGGGUACUUGUGGCUCUGUUUAUCUUAAACAGUUAGUACUGCUUGCAGUACUGGUUGAUUUAGGGUGAUCACAAGUCCACUAUCCACAAUUACUAUUAGGGAUGUUGAGUUAACAGAUACUAAUCGACCCGUCUUGAAACACGGAUCAAGGAGUCUUACGCGUAUGCAAGUCGUAGAGUGAUAAACUUGAAGGCGAAAUGAAAGUGAUUGGUAGGAAAGGGGGUAGUCAGAGACCUCUUUGCACUAUCAACCGAUCUAAGGAUUUAUUCUAAGGAUUUGAGUAGGAGCAUACUCGUAAGGACCCGAAAGAUAGCGAACUAUGCGUGUAUAGGGUGAAGUCAGAAGAAAUUCUGAUGGAGGCUCGUAGCGGUACUGACGUGCAAAUCGUUCGUCAAAUAUGCGUAUAGCGGCGAAAGACUAAUCGAGCUGUCUAGUAGCUGGUUCCCUC